AUUGAACGCUGGUGGCAGGCUUAACACAUGCAAGUCGAACGGUAACAGGAAUUAGCUUGCUCAUUUGCUGACGAGUGGCAGACGGGUGAGUAAUGCUUGGGAAUCUGGCUUAUGGAGGGGGAUAACUACGGGAAACUGUAGCUAAUACCGCGUAAAAUCUUCGGAUUAAAGGGUGGGACUUUCGAGCCACCUGCCAUAAGAUGAGCCCAAGUGGGAUUAGGUAGUUGGUUAGGUAAAGGCUGACCAAGCCGACGAUCUCUAGCUGGUCUGAGAGGAUGACCAGCCACACUGGAACUGAGACACGGUCCAGACUCCUACGGGAGGCAGCAGUGGGGAAUAUUGCACAAUGGGGGGAACCCUGAUGCAGCCAUGCCGCGUGAAUGAAGAAGGCCUUCGGGUUGUAAAGUUCUUUCGGUGACGAGGAAGGUUGAUAGGUUAAUAGCCUAUCAAAUUGACGUUAAUCACAGAAGAAGCACCGGCUAACUCCGUG
This 490-nucleotide ribosomal RNA is filed under the name uncultured bacterium. RNAcentral describes it as "partial 16S ribosomal RNA". It matches the Rfam family "Bacterial small subunit ribosomal RNA", at positions 30 to 507 of the family's 1533-position model. The record is from RNAcentral.